GAUGAACGCUGGCGGCGUGCCUAAUACAUGCAAGUCGAGCGAACAGACGAGGAGCUUGCUCCUCUGACGUAGCGGCGGACGGGUGAGUAACACGUGGAUAACCUACCUAUAAGACUGGGAUAACUUCGGGAAACCGGAGCUAAUACCGGAUAAUAUAUUGAACCGCAUGGUUCAAUAGUGAAAGACGGUUUUGCUGUCACUUAUAGAUGGAUCCGCGCCGCAUUAGCUAGUUGGUAAGGUAACGGCUUACCAAGGCAACGAUGCGUAGCCGACCUGAGAGGGUGAUCGGCCACGCUGGAACUGAGACACGGUCCAGACUCCUACGGGAGGCAGCAGUAGGGAAUCUUCCGCAAUGGGCGAAAGCCUGACGGAGCAACGCCGCGUGAGUGAUGAAGGUCUUCGGAUCGUAAAACUCUGUUAUUAGGGAAGAACAAAUGUGUAAGUAACUAUGCACGUCUUGACGGUACCUAAUCAGAAAGCCACGGCUAACUACGU
Molecule: ribosomal RNA, 495 nt
Filed under: uncultured bacterium
Lineage: Bacteria
Description: partial 16S ribosomal RNA
Rfam family: Bacterial small subunit ribosomal RNA
Source: RNAcentral